AUGUGCUUGUCUUCGCGAAUGUUCGAUGGGAAGACACGCUCCUUCUCCAUUACCAGAAAGGCUUUCCCUGAAAGUAAAUACGUCGUCCCUGUCCCAAUCUCCCGCCUAGCCCACCGUCAUCUCCCCCUUCUCCUAUCCUAUGCAACCGUCUCGGGUCUUUUGCUCAAGGUACCCUUGCUCCACUCUGUCCUUCGCUCACUCUCCUCAGGUUCUGUCCCAUCUCUCUCCCUCUCAUUCCUCUCCCUACUCCGCCGGUCUGGCUACAUGCCCAUCGAUAACUACUCCCUUAGCGCUGCUCUUUCUACCGCCGCCCGCAUGCCCUCCGUUGUUGUUGGUGCCCAGCUCCAUACCCUUUCUGUGAAACUCGGCUUAAGUUCUGAUACCUUUGUCCUUAAUACUCUUAUCAAUAUGUACUCGUCUUGUAGUUAUCCAUCUACUGCAAGAUCAGUUCUUGAUUCUGCUCCCAAAGGAGCCUCUGAUACAGUUUCUUGGAAUACAAUCAUUGCUGGAUACGUACAUGCUGGGCUGCCUAAUAAGGCAUUGCUGGCUUUUAGCCAAAUGGCCAAGGCGCAAGUUAUGCUGGAUGAGGUCACCUUGCUGAAUGCUCUAGUUGCUUGUGCAAGGACAUGCAUGAUGAAGGUCGGAAAGCUCUGUCAUGCACUGCUUGUGACAAAUGGUUUUGAGAUUAACUGUUAUAUGGGUUCCUCUUUGAUUAGUAUGUAUGCAAAGUGUGGGCUGGUUGAAGAUGCUCGCAGGGUUUUUGAUGGAUUGCCUGAGAGGAAUGCGGUUUGCUGGACCUCAAUGAUUUCUGGAUAUACACAGUUAGGUCAGUCUAAAGAGGCUGUUAAGCUAUUCAGAGACAUGCAAAUUGCUGGAGUGAAAGUUGAUGAUGCAACAAUUGCUACUGUUGUAUCUUCAUGCGGCCAGAUGGGAGCACUGGACUUGGGACGGUAUGUCCAUGCUUACUGUGACAUUCAUGGUUUAGGCAAGGAUAUUUCUGUGAAAAAUUCAUUGAUUGACAUGUACUCAAAGUGUGGGGAUAUAAAAAAGGCCUAUGAUAUAUUUUGUGGAAUGGUCAAGCGGGAUGAUUUUUCCUGGACAGUGAUGAUAAUGGGCUUUGCUGCGAAUGGCCUCUCUGGUGAGGCACUAGAUUUGUUUGCGCAGAUGGAAGAAGAGGGUGAAGUCAUGCCGAAUGAGAUAACUUUCUUGGGUGUCCUAACUUCUUGCAGCCAUGGAGGAUUAGUUGAACAAGGAUACCAUCACUUCCAUCGCAUGUCCAGUAUUUACGGUAUUGCCCCAAGGAUCGAACACUAUGGAUGCAUGGUUGAUCUCCUGGGGCGUGCUAAGUUAUUGGCAGAGGCAGAACAGUUCAUUAAAGAGAUGCCUAUCGCUCCUGAUGUUGUAAUGUGGCGGUCGUUGUUGUUUGCCUGCAGAGCCUGUGGAGAGGUGGGACUUGCAGAGUAUGUAGCAGAAAGGAUCCAAGUAUUGGAGCCAAACAGGUGUGGAGGGGACGUUUUACUUUCUACUGUCUAUGCUACCACAUCAAGGUGGGUUGAUGCAAACAAAGUGAGGACAGGAAUAUACAGUAGCAGAAAGACCAAGCAGCCUGGUUGCUCUUUCAUUGAAGUGGAUGGAUGCGUGCAUGAGUUCUUUGCAGGGGACGAGUCACAUUUUGAAACUGAGGCUAUAUACAACACUCUUUUAGGGAUUAAUGAACUAUUAGUAGCAGAGUCCUUCCUGAUG
Molecule: ribosomal RNA, 1743 nt
Filed under: Triticum aestivum (bread wheat)
Lineage: Eukaryota; Viridiplantae; Streptophyta; Magnoliopsida; Poales; Poaceae
Description: partial small subunit ribosomal RNA
Source: RNAcentral